Molecule: ribosomal RNA, 274 nt
Filed under: uncultured bacterium
Lineage: Bacteria
Description: partial 16S ribosomal RNA
Rfam family: Archaeal small subunit ribosomal RNA
Source: RNAcentral
AAACCAGCACCUCAAGUGGUCAGGAUGAUUAUUGGGCCUAAAGCAUCCGUAGCCGGCUCUGUAAGUUUUCGGUUAAAUCUGUAUGCUCAACAUACAGGCCGCCGGGAAUACUGCAGAGCUAGGGAGUGGGAGAGGUAGACGGUACUCGGGAGGAAGUGGUAAAAUGCUUUGAUCUCUCGAUGACCACCUGUGGCGAAGGCGGUCUACCAGAAUACGUCCGACGGUGAGGGAUGAAAGCUGGGGGAGCAAACCGGAUUAGAAACCCGAGUAGUCC